CUACGGAGGGUGCAAGCGUUACGCGGAAUCACUGGGCGUAAAGCGCGCGCAGGCGGCUUGAUAAGUUGGAUGUGAAAGCCUACGGCUCAACCGUAGAACUGCAUCCAAAACUGUCAGGCUAGAGUGUGGGAGAGGAAGAUGGAAUUAGUUGUGUAGGGGUAAAAUCCGUAGAGAUAACUAGGAAUACCAAAAGCGAAGGCAAUCUUCUGGAACACUACUGACGCUGAGGCGCGAAAGCGUGGGGAGCAAACGGGAUUAGAUACCCUAGUAGUCC
This 274-nucleotide ribosomal RNA is filed under the name uncultured bacterium. RNAcentral describes it as "partial 16S ribosomal RNA". It matches the Rfam family "Bacterial small subunit ribosomal RNA", at positions 523 to 796 of the family's 1533-position model. The record is from RNAcentral.